Molecule: ribosomal RNA, 630 nt
Filed under: Caulobacter profundus
Lineage: Bacteria; Pseudomonadati; Pseudomonadota; Alphaproteobacteria; Caulobacterales; Caulobacteraceae
Description: bacterial SSU rRNA
Rfam family: Bacterial small subunit ribosomal RNA
Source: RNAcentral
UGCAGUCGACCGGAUCCUUCGGGAUUAGUGGCUGACAGUGGUGAGUCACACGUGGGAACGUGCCUUUUGGUUCGGAACAACUCAGGGAAACUUGAGCUAAUACCGAAUGUGCCCUUCGGGGGAAAGAUUUAUCGCCUUUAGAGCGGCCCGCGUCUGAUUAGCUAGUUGGUGAGGUAAAGGCUCACCAAGGCUACGAUCAGUAGCUGGUCUGAGAGGAUGAUCAGCCACAUUGGGACUGAGACACGGCCCAAACUCCUACGGGAGGCAGCAGUGGGGAAUCUUGCGCAAUGGGCGAAAGCCUGACGCAGCCAUGCCGCGUGAAUGAUGAAGGUCUUAGGAUUGUAAAAUUCUUUCACCGGGGACGAUAAUGACGGUACCCGGAGAAGAAGCCCCGGCUAACUUCGUGCCAGCAGCCGCGGUAAUACGAAGGGGGCUAGCGUUGCUCGGAAUUACUGGGCGUAAAGGGAGCGUAGGCGGAUAGUUUAGUCAGAGGUGAAAGCCCAGGGCUCAACCUUGGAAUUGCCUUUGAUACUGGCUAUCUUGAGUAUGGGAGAGGUUAGCGGAACUCCGAGUGUAGAGGUGAAAUUCGUAGAUAUUCGGAAGAACACCAGUGGCGAAGGCCGCUAACUG